This 440-nucleotide ribosomal RNA is filed under the name uncultured bacterium. RNAcentral's name for it is "partial 16S ribosomal RNA". It matches the Rfam family "Bacterial small subunit ribosomal RNA", at positions 338 to 795 of the family's 1533-position model. The record is from RNAcentral.
CCUACGGGUGGCAGCAGUGGGGAAUAUUGCACAAUGGGGGGAACCCUGAUGCAGCGAUGCCGCGUGGAGGAAGAAGGCUUUCGGAUUGUAAACUCCUUUUAUCAGGGACGAUAAUGACGGUAUCUGAAGAAAAAGCUCCGGCAAACUACGUGCCAGCAGCCGCGGUAAUACGGAGGGAGCGAGCGUUGUCCGGAAUUACUGGGUGUAAAGGGAGCGUAGGGGGGACGGCAAGUCAGUUGUGAAAACUGGGGGCUCAACCUUCAAACUGCAUUUGAAACUGGUGUUCUUGAGUGAAGUAGAGGUAAGCGGAAUUCGUGGUGUAGCGGUGAAAUGCGUAGAUAUUAGGAAGAACAUCGAUGGCGAAGGCAGCUUACUGGGCUUUUACUGACGCUGAGGCUCGAAAGCGUGGGGAGCAAACAGGAUUAGAUACCCGUGUAGUC